This 804-nucleotide ribosomal RNA is filed under the name Occidozyga cf. laevis KU 306234. Its description in RNAcentral is "partial large subunit ribosomal RNA". It matches the Rfam family "Bacterial large subunit ribosomal RNA", at positions 1536 to 2571 of the family's 2925-position model. The record is from RNAcentral. Lineage: Eukaryota; Metazoa; Chordata; Amphibia; Anura; Dicroglossidae.
ACCACUUAUUACUGCCAACCCAUCAACAGUAUUGAAUAAUUUCAUAAAUUAUGAAAACUACCAUGCUAGAACUAGUAACAAGAAAAUGAAUUUCUCCAAAGUGUAAACAUAAGCCAAAACGGACAGCCCAUUGGUGAUUAACGACUUUGAACCCAUUAUAGCAAAAUAUCUAGAAAACCCUAUACUUAAUACCGUUAACCUUACACAAGAACUCUUCUGGAAAGAUUAAAAGGAAGAGAAGGAACUCGGCAAAUUUUAACCCCGCCUGUUUACCAAAAACAUCGCCUCUUGCUUAAUUAUAAGAGGUCCCGCCUGCCCAGUGUUUCAAUCAACGGCCGCGUGAUCUAAACGCGCGAAGGUAGCAUAAUAAUUUGUUCUUUAAAUCAGGACUUGUAUCAAUGGCAUCACGAGGGUUAUACUGUCUCCUCUCCCCAAUCAGUGAAACUAAUCUCCCUGUGAAAAAGCAGGAAUGAGACCAUAAGACGAGAAGACCCCAUGGAGCUUAAAACAAGGCAGCAAUCCAAUAACAAAACCAAAACAAUCUUAAACCCUGUAUGCCAGUUUUAGGUUGGGGUGACCACGGAGCAAAAUAAAGCCUCCACAACGAGAAGGGAUUAUUCCCUUAUCCAAGAGACACGCCUCUAAGAAUUAUUAAAAUAACGUCUAAUGAUCCGAUCAUCGACCAAUGGACCAAGUUACCCUGGGGAUAACAGCGCAAUCCACUCUGAGAGCUCCUAUCGACGAGUGGGCUUACGACCUCGAUGUUGGAUCAGGAUAUCCCAGUGGUGCAGCCGCUACUAAAGG